GGGUUGUGAGGUUAAGCGACUAAGCGUACACGGUGGAUGCCCUGGCAGUCAGAGGCGAUGAAGGACGUGCUAAUCUGCGAUAAGCGUCGGUGAGGUGAUAUGAACCGUUAUAACCGGCGAUUUCCGAAUGGGGAAACCCAGUGUGUUUCGACACACUAUCAUUAACUGAAUCCAUAGGUUAAUGAGGCGAACCGGGGGAACUGAAACAUCUAAGUACCCCGAGGAAAAGAAAUCAACCGAGAUUCCCCCAGUAGCGGCGAGCGAACGGGGAGGAGCCCAGAGCCUGAAUCAGUGUGUGUGUUAGUGGAAGCGUCUGGAAAGGCGCGCGAUACAGGGUGACAGCCCCGUACACAAAAAUGCACAUAUUGUGAGCUCGAUGAGUAGGGCGGGACACGUGGUAUCCUGUCUGAAUAUGGGGGGACCAUCCUCCAAGGCUAAAUACUCCUGACUGACCGAUAGUGAACCAGUACCGUGAGGGAAAGGCGAAAAGAACCCCGGCGAGGGGAGUGAAAAAGAACCUGAAACCGUGUACGUACAAGCAGUGGGAGCCUCUUAAUGGGGUGACUGCGUACCUUUUGUAUAAUGGGUCAGCGACUUAUAUUCUGUAGCAAGGUUAACCGAAUAGGGGAGCCGAAGGGAAACCGAGUCUUAACUGGGCGUUAAGUUGCAGGGUAUAGACCCGAAACCCGGUGAUCUAGCCAUGGGCAGGUUGAAGGUUGGGUAACACUAACUGGAGGACCGAACCGACUAAUGUUGAAAAAUUAGCGGAUGACUUGUGGCUGGGGGUGAAAGGCCAAUCAAACCGGGAGAUAGCUGGUUCUCCCCGAAAGCUAUUUAGGUAGCGCCUCGUGAAUUCAUCUCCGGGGGUAGAGCACUGUUUCGGCAAGGGGGUCAUCCCGACUUACCAACCCGAUGCAAACUGCGAAUACCGGAGAAUGUUAUCACGGGAGACACACGGCGGGUGCUAACGUCCGUCGUGAAGAGGGAAACAACCCAGACCGCCAGCUAAGGUCCCAAAGUCAUGGUUAAGUGGGAAACGAUGUGGGAAGGCCCAGACAGCCAGGAUGUUGGCUUAGAAGCAGCCAUCAUUUAAAGAAAGCGUAAUAGCUCACUGGUCGAGUCGGCCUGCGCGGAAGAUGUAACGGGGCUAAACCAUGCACCGAAGCUGCGGCAGCGACACUAUGUGUUGUUGGGUAGGGGAGCGUUCUGUAAGCCUGUGAAGGUGUACUGUGAGGUAUGCUGGAGGUAUCAGAAGUGCGAAUGCUGACAUAAGUAACGAUAAAGCGGGUGAAAAGCCCGCUCGCCGGAAGACCAAGGGUUCCUGUCCAACGUUAAUCGGGGCAGGGUGAGUCGACCCCUAAGGCGAGGCCGAAAGGCGUAGUCGAUGGGAAACAGGUUAAUAUUCCUGUACUUGGUGUUACUGCGAAGGGGGGACGGAGAAGGCUAUGUUGGCCGGGCGACGGUUGUCCCGGUUUAAGCGUGUAGGCUGGUUUUCCAGGCAAAUCCGGAAAAUCAAGGCUGAGGCGUGAUGACGAGGCACUACGGUGCUGAAGCGACAAAUGCCCUGCUUCCAGGAAAAGCCUCUAAGCAUCAGGUAACAUCAAAUCGUACCCCAAACCGACACAGGUGGUCAGGUAGAGAAUACCAAGGCGCUUGAGAGAACUCGGGUGAAGGAACUAGGCAAAAUGGUGCCGUAACUUCGGGAGAAGGCACGCUGAUAUGUAGGUGAAGCGACUUGCUCGUGGAGCUGAAAUCAGUCGAAGAUACCAGCUGGCUGCAACUGUUUAUUAAAAACACAGCACUGUGCAAACACGAAAGUGGACGUAUACGGUGUGACGCCUGCCCGGUGCCGGAAGGUUAAUUGAUGGGGUUAGCGGUAACGCGAAGCUCUUGAUCGAAGCCCCGGUAAACGGCGGCCGUAACUAUAACGGUCCUAAGGUAGCGAAAUUCCUUGUCGGGUAAGUUCCGACCUGCACGAAUGGCGUAAUGAUGGCCAGGCUGUCUCCACCCGAGACUCAGUGAAAUUGAACUCGCUGUGAAGAUGCAGUGUACCCGCGGCAAGACGGAAAGACCCCGUGAACCUUUACUAUAGCUUGACACUGAACAUUGAGCCUUGAUGUGUAGGAUAGGUGGGAGGCUUUGAAGUGUGGACGCCAGUCUGCAUGGAGCCGACCUUGAAAUACCACCCUUUAAUGUUUGAUGUUCUAACGUGGGCCCCUUACCGGGGUUGCGGACAGUGUCUGGUGGGUAGUUUGACUGGGGCGGUCUCCUCCUAAAGAGUAACGGAGGAGCACGAAGGUUGGCUAAUCCUGGUCGGACAUCAGGAGGUUAGUGCAAUGGCAUAAGCCAGCUUGACUGCGAGCGUGACGGCGCGAGCAGGUGCGAAAGCAGGUCAUAGUGAUCCGGUGGUUCUGAAUGGAAGGGCCAUCGCUCAACG
RNAcentral lists this ribosomal RNA (2437 nucleotides) under Escherichia coli. Its description in RNAcentral is "bacterial LSU rRNA". It matches the Rfam family "Bacterial large subunit ribosomal RNA", at positions 1 to 2454 of the family's 2925-position model. Lineage: Bacteria; Pseudomonadati; Pseudomonadota; Gammaproteobacteria; Enterobacterales; Enterobacteriaceae. The record is from RNAcentral.